This 282-nucleotide unclassified non-coding RNA is filed under the name Hevea brasiliensis (rubber tree). Lineage: Eukaryota; Viridiplantae; Streptophyta; Magnoliopsida; Malpighiales; Euphorbiaceae. The record is from RNAcentral.
GCAGGCACCGGCAUCGGCACAGGGGGGCUGUCAUGGAGUUCCGCAGCUCAACUGCCGGUGUCACCAGUAGUCGGCAGCGCCGGUGUUCCAGGCUGCCGACGACGCUGGAGUGCCUGCAGACUUACCCUGUGUGUAUGGUUACUGAGUCUGUUGGUGUCUUGAGGUCAUGUGUGAUGAUGUUUUCGGUAGUGUGUAAGGGUCAUAGAGGGUUGAUUUUUUGUUACAGGUACUCUUGGGAAUGCCUGGUGUUGGGGGAUCUGGCCAUUGCAAGGCGCAUACUAG